RNAcentral lists this ribosomal RNA (499 nucleotides) under uncultured bacterium. Its description in RNAcentral is "partial 16S ribosomal RNA". It matches the Rfam family "Bacterial small subunit ribosomal RNA", at positions 28 to 507 of the family's 1533-position model. The record is from RNAcentral.
GAUGAACGCUGGCGGCGUGCCUAAUACAUGCAAGUCGAGCGAACAGACGAGAGUGCUUGCACUCUCUGACGUUAGCGGCGGACGUGUGAGUAACACGUGGGUAACCUACCUAUAAGACUGGGAUAACUUCGGGAAACCGGAGCUAAUACCGGAUAAUAUUUAGCUUCGCAUGAAGCAAUAGUGAAAGACGGUUCUGCUGUCACAUAUAGAUGGACCCGCGGUGUAUUAGCUAGUUGGUGAGGUAACGGCUCACCAAGGCAACGAUACAUAGCCGACCUGAGAGGGUGAUCGGCCACACUGGGACUGAGACACGGCCCAGACUCCUACGGGAGGCAGCAGUAGGGAAUCUUCCGCAAUGGACGAAAGUCUGACGGAGCAAUGCCGCGUGAGUGAAGAAGGUUUUCGGAUCGUAAAACUCUGUUGUAAGGGAAGAACAAGUACGUUAGUAACUGAACGUACCUUGACGGUACCUUACCAGAAAGCCACGGCUAACUACGUG